AGCAUUCUCUGGUGUUGAAGGCCCUGCAAAGCAGCAUCGCGGUGGCGGAGCGUCGUUUGCGACGCCCAACACACAAAACAAGCGGUGAAUGCUUUGGGGUGGGGUGACUGCGUACCUUUUGUAUAAUGGGUCAGCGACUUAUAUUCUGUAGCAAGGUUAACCGAAUAGGGGAGCCGGAGGGAAACCGAGUCUUAAUUGGGCGUUAAGUUGCAGGGUAUAGACCCGAAACCCGGUGAUCUAGCCAUGGGCAGGUUGAAGGUUGGGUAACACUAACUGGAGGACCGAACCGACUAAUGUUGAAAAAUUAGCGGAUGACCUGUGGCUGGGGGUGAAAGGCCAAUCAAACCGGGAGAUAGCUGGUUCUCCCCGAAAGCUAUUUAGGUAGCGCCUCGUGAAUUCAUCUCCGGGGGUAGAGCACUGUUUCGGCUAGGGGGCCAUCCCGGCUUACCAACCCGAUGCAAACUGCGAAUACCGGAGAAUGUUAUCACGGGAGACACACGGCGGGUGCUAACGUCCGUCGUGAAGAGGGAAACAACCCAGACCGCCAGCUAAGGUCCCAAAGUCAUGGUUAAGUGGGAAACGAUGUGGGAAGGCCCAGACAGCCAGGAUGUUGGCUUAGAAGCAGCCAUCAUUUAAAGAAAGCGUAAUAGCUCACUGGUCGAGUCGGCCUGCGCGGAAGAUGUAACGGGGCUAAACCAUGCACCGAAGCUGCGGCAGCGAACGUAUCACCCAAGACAACUUUACGGAGUUGACGAUUGACGGAGCGAAGCGACGUCAAAGCGUUCAUUAAAGUCGAGUUGGCUUAGGGAUACGUUCGUUGGGUAGGGGAGCGUUCUGUAAGCCUGUGAAGGUGUGUCGUGAGGCAUGCUGGAGGUAUCAGAAGUGCGAAUGCUGACAUAAGUAACGAUAAAGCGGGUGAAAAGCCCGCUCGCCGGAAGACCAAGGGUUCCUGUCCAACGUUAAUCGGGGCAGGGUGAGUCGACCCCUAAGGCGAGGCCGAAAGGCGUAGUCGAUGGGAAACGGGUUAAUAUUCCCGUACUUGGUGUUACUGCGAAGGGGGGACGGAGAAGGCUAUGUUGGCCGGGCGACGGUUGUCCCGGUUUAAGCGUGUAGGUGUGUGUUCCAGGUAAAUCCGGUUCACUUUAACACUGAGGCGUGACGACGAGGCACUACGGUGCUGAAGCAACAAAUGCCCUGCUUCCAGGAAAA
Molecule: ribosomal RNA, 1209 nt
Filed under: Salmonella enterica subsp. enterica serovar Typhimurium
Lineage: Bacteria; Pseudomonadati; Pseudomonadota; Gammaproteobacteria; Enterobacterales; Enterobacteriaceae
Description: partial 23S ribosomal RNA
Rfam family: Bacterial large subunit ribosomal RNA
Source: RNAcentral